CAAAAACAUCGCCUCUUGCAAAAUCAACAAAUAAGAGGUCCCGCCUGCCCUGUGACUAUAUGUUUAACGGCCGCGGUAUUUUGACCGUGCGAAGGUAGCGCAAUCACUUGUCUUUUAAAUGGAGACCUGUAUGAAUGGCACGACGAGGGCUUAACUGUCUCCUUUCCUUAGUCAAUGAAAUUGAUCUCUCCGUGCAGAAGCGGGGAUAAACCCAUAAGACGAGAAGACCCUAUGGAGCUUCAGACACUAAAACAGCUCAUGUUAAAAACCCUCACAAAAGAGGCCAAACUAGAUGACCCCUGUCCUAAUGUCUUUGGUUGGGGCGACCACGGGGCAACAAAAAACCCCCGCGCGGAACAGAAACACUGUUUCCAGAACCAAGAGCACCCGCUCUAAGUAACAAGACCCACUUGACCUUUGAGAUCCGGCACAAGCCGAUCAACGGACCGAGUUACCCUAGGGAUAACAGCGCAAUCUUCUUCGAGAGCUCAUAUCGACGAGAAGGUUUACGACCUCGAUGUUGGAUCAGGACAUCCUAAUGGUGCAGCCGCUAUUAAGGGUUCGUUUGUUCAACGAUUAAAGUCCUACGUGAUC
Molecule: ribosomal RNA, 594 nt
Filed under: Scarus aff. ghobban OM
Lineage: Eukaryota; Metazoa; Chordata; Actinopteri; Labriformes; Labridae
Also listed under: 1 other name
Description: partial 16S ribosomal RNA
Rfam family: Bacterial large subunit ribosomal RNA
Source: RNAcentral